CUCUCCUUAGAUAGAACUGAGGUAUUCCCCUUGGCAUGUGCUGGGGCUUGGACUGGAGUCAGCUGACCCGUCUAGGGAGUGUAGCUCUGGUAUCCAUCAGUGAGGUGGCACUGGGCUGGGGCUUGGACUGGAGUCAGCUGACACGUCUAGGGAGUGUAGCUCUGGUAUCCAUCAGUGAGGUGGCACUGGGCUGGGGCUUGGACUGGAGUCAGCUGACACGUCUAGGGAGUGUAGCUCUGGUAUCCAUCAGUGAGGUGGCACUGGGCUGGGGCUUGGACUGGAGUCAGCUGACACGUCUAGGGAGUGUAGCUCUGGUAUCCAUCAGUGAGGUGGCACUGGGCUGGGGCUUGGACUGGAGUCAGCUGACACGUCUAGGGAGUGUAGCUCUGGUAUCCAUCAGUGAGGUGGCACUGGGCUGGGGCUUGGACUGGAGUCAGCUGACACGUCUAGGGAGUGUAGCUCUGGUAUCCAUCAGUGAGGUGGCACUGGGCUGGGGCUUGGACUGGAGUCAGCUGACACGUCUAGGGAGUGUAGCUCUGGUAUCCAUCAGUGAGGUGGCACUGGGCUGGGGCUUGGACUGGAGUCUGCUCACACGUCUAGGGAGUGUAGCUCUGGUAUCCCAUCAGUGAGGUGGCACUGGGCUGGGGCUCCGUUUGAAACGCCACUACUUCAUAUUGAUCUGCGUAGGUUAGAUGGUGAUACACCAUAGCGUGUAUUUAGCGGUCCUUGUUGCUCCGGCCUGAUUUUCGCCAUGUUACUUGUCCAAUACUUUCAUAUCUACACAAUAAGUGAGGUUGACUGGUACUGGGAGUAGAAUGUACCAACUUAGGGGUUGAUUUUAGAACAGAACAAGGGCCUGGUAUUUCUGUGAGGUGAACAGAA
Oncorhynchus keta (chum salmon) is the source of this 882-nucleotide long non-coding RNA. RefSeq lists it as uncharacterized. The record is from RefSeq and is a predicted model, not a curated record. Lineage: Eukaryota; Metazoa; Chordata; Actinopteri; Salmoniformes; Salmonidae. The transcript has 3 exons.